RNAcentral lists this long non-coding RNA (1365 nucleotides) under Manacus vitellinus (golden-collared manakin). Its description in RNAcentral is "lncRNA (ENSMVIG00005003662.1)". The stretch from base 368 to 458 matches the Rfam family "Small nucleolar SNORD12/SNORD106". Lineage: Eukaryota; Metazoa; Chordata; Aves; Passeriformes; Pipridae. The record is from RNAcentral.
CACUGCGGGUCCCGGUGCUCACGGCCGAGCUGUGCCGCCCUGCGGCCUGCACGGCUCCUGCUGCAGGAGCCUCACGGACAGAAAGCCUGGGCCUGCAAAAAGUAAUAAGCUAUUAAUCUCUGCUUAUUGCCUCUUUUACAUGCCUUGACUGUCUUGGGCUCUGCUCUGGAACCCCCGUACAUAGGUGUUUGUUCUUAAUUUUUGGGGGGAAUAUUUCCCUGUCCUGUGUGCCUGUUGAGCAUGCUGACCAGCCAGCUGUUUUGGGGGAAAGAUCAGCAUAAACUCCCUUGCUGCCCGUGGAUCUGCUGGGGGAGGUGGGAGUGUGGCACAGCUGCACUGGGUGAGCAGUCACAGCUCCUGGGGACCUGCUGGUGUAAGUGAUGACUAAAUUUUUUCCCCAUCAGAGCGACAGUGUUGAUUUCUUGCUCUUCAAGCCAGAUCAUGUCUGAUGCACCAGCAGGGAAGUGCUGCUGUGUCCCAUGCCCUGGCAGAGCCUGGUGCUGACUGUUCCCUUUGGCUUUACCCACAGGGCACUGUGAAGGCAGACAGGGGGUUGAGCCUCUGGGAGACCUGAAGUGUGAAGGCUGCAGCUGCCAGUGAUGGUGUGGUGAGAGCAGCUGUCUGUUUUGCUCCACUAUGCUUGCACUCUAGCAAAUAAUGGGCACUGUGAAGGCAGAGACAGGGGGUUGAGCCUCUGGGAGACCUGAAGUGUGAAGGCUGCAGCUGACAGUGAUGGUGUGGUGAGGGCAGUUGUCUGUUUUGCUCUACCAUGUAUGCCCUCUGACAGUGAAGAAUGGCUGAGAUUUGUCAGAAGUUGUCCUGGGCUCUGCUGGGGUUUCAGUGUUUUGCUAAUGAAGACGGAUGCUUCUGCUGCUCCUGUGCUGCUGCCUCAGAUCCUUGUCCAAGCCACAGCAUUCAUGUCACCCUGUGACAGCUCUGGCCUUUCCUCAGAGCUGGCAGGAGUGAUGAGUUGGUGUCCUGCCAACUUAGAUGGAGGGUGUCACAUUUUUUAUCCCCUGGGUAUGAGGCAUGUAACUGGAAUGGAUUCUGGAACUUGCUGCAUGUUUAAUGCAGUUUGGAUGCUUUUGUCUGCAGGGGCUGCAUUCCCUGGCUAACAGCUCAUGUUAUCCUGCCCCUGUCAUUACAAGCAAGGAAGGCUCUCCUUGGAGCAAUGACAAGUACAGGAGGGCCUUGUGUGUAAGGAGAGGAGUCAGGGCUUGGCUCUCCCCUGCCAUCCAGAAAGCUUUAGUGGUUCAUCUCUGACAGCUUGUGAAGUGGGGAAGGGGUAUCUGGGAUGCUGCGGCACAGUGUGGUUUUGUACUGUAUAGAGUCUGUUUAAUAAAAUCUGAGUACUGGGUGAACUCA